RNAcentral lists this ribosomal RNA (460 nucleotides) under uncultured bacterium. RNAcentral describes it as "SSU rRNA". It matches the Rfam family "Bacterial small subunit ribosomal RNA", at positions 26 to 518 of the family's 1533-position model. The record is from RNAcentral.
AGAAUCAACGCUGGCGGCGUGCCUAACACAUGCAAGUCGAACGAGAAAGUGGAGCAAUCCAUGAGUAAAGUGGCGACCGGGUGAGUAACACGUGACUAACCUACCUUCGAGUGGGGGAUAACCUCGGGAAAACCGAGGCUAAUACCGCAUAACAUCGCAAGAUCAAAGCAGCAAUGCGCUGGAAGAGGGGGUCGCGGCUGAUUAGCUAGUUGGCGGGGUAACGGCCCACAAGGCGAAGAUCGGUAGCCGGCCUGAGAGGGCGCGCGGCCACACUGGAACUGAAACACGGUCCAGACUCCUACGGGAGGCAGCAGUGGGGAAUUUUGCGCAAUGGGGGAAACCCUGACGCAGCAACGCCGCGUGGAGGAUGAAGCCCCUUGGGGCGUAAACUCCUUUCGACCAAGACGAUAAUGACGGUACUGGUGGAAGAAGCACCGGCUAACUCUGCGCCAGCAGCCGC